AAAGAGGGUAUUCAAAUAACUCAAGAAAUUGAAGCAGGAAACUACCCUGUAAUAUCUUUGGAUUACAUCGCAGUGGUUCACUUUAAAGGCAUUUCUCUAUCCACAAGAACUCAUUCAACAAUACUGGUUGAACCAAAGGUACCUAGAGCAGAACACCUAAAAGAAUGGGCGAAAGAACAUCGUGACACACUUGACGCAUUGAAAAGAUGCCGAGACUACAACAAUGCUGCAAUCAAACUUGCAAAUCCAGAAAAAGAA
Long non-coding RNA from Ipomoea nil (Japanese morning glory), 258 nucleotides. RefSeq lists it as uncharacterized. The record is from RefSeq and is a predicted model, not a curated record. NCBI's taxonomy places the organism in Eukaryota, Viridiplantae, Streptophyta, Magnoliopsida, Solanales, Convolvulaceae. The transcript has 3 exons.